Molecule: ribosomal RNA, 459 nt
Filed under: uncultured bacterium
Lineage: Bacteria
Description: partial 16S ribosomal RNA
Rfam family: Bacterial small subunit ribosomal RNA
Source: RNAcentral
CCUACGGGUGACAGCAGUGAGGAAUAUUGGUCAAUGGCCGGAAGGCUGAACCAGCCAAGUCGCGUGAGGGACGAAUGCCCUAUGGGUUGUCAACCUCUUUUAUAAGGGAAGAAUAAAUGAUACGUGUAGCAUGAUGCGUGUACCUUAUGAAUAAGCAUAGGCUAACUCAGUGACAGCAGCCGCGGUAAUACGAAGGAUGCGACCGGUGUCCGGAUUUAUAGGGUUUAACGGGUACGUAGGCGGUUUGUUAAGUUAGUGGUUAAACGUCGGGGCUUCACCUUGAUUUGCCAUUAAUACUGUAAGACUCGAGUUCAGACGAGGUAUGCGGAAUAAGUUAAGUAGCGGUGAAAUGCUUAGAUAUAUCUUAGAACUCCGAUAGCGAAGGCAGCUUACCAGACUGCUACUGACGCUGAAGCACGAGAGCGUGGGUAGCGAACAGGAUUAGAUACCCUGGUAGUC